AUGGGGAGGGCGCCGUGCUGCGACAGGAAGGGUCUCAAGAAGGGGCCGUGGACGCCGGAGGAGGACAAACAGCUCGUCGACUUCAUCCAGGCCAACGGCCAUGGCAGCUGGCGCCUGCUCCCCAAACUCGCAGAGCUGAACCGGUGCGGCAAGAGCUGCCGGCUACGGUGGACGAACUACCUGCGGCCGGACAUCAAGCGCGGGCCCUUCACCGCCGAGGAGCAGAAGUCCAUCGUCCAGCUCCACGGCAUCGUCGGGAACAAGUGGUCCAUGAUCGCGGCGCAGCUGCCCGGCCGGACGGACAACGAGAUCAAGAACUACUGGAACACGCACCUCAAGAAGCAGCUCCGCCGGAUGGGCCUCGACGAGCCCCCGCCCGGCCCGACCGCCGGCUGCCCCGCCGCGCGCCACAUGGCGCAGUGGGAGACCGCGCGCCUGGAGGCCGAGGCGCGCCUCUCGCUCCUCUCCUCCUCCGGCGCCGCGGCGACGGCCACCACCUCCGGCUCCGCGUCCUCUUCAUCGACCGCGGCCGCCGGCGCCGCAGUGGCCGAACGCGCGAAGCCCGCCGACGUCUUCCUGCGCCUGUGGAACUCCGAUAUCGGGAGCUCUUUCCGCAAAGCGGCCGCGCCAGUGUCCGUCAAGGAGGAGGAGGCUGUGGUGCCGGGGGACGACUCCUCGGCGGCGUCCAACGAGAUGGACGCGGCGGCGGCCGAGUACCAGAUGUUCCUCGACUUCGCCGGCGAGGAGCUGGGUCUGUUCCACGGCCGGCACGGCGGCUUCUCGCUGUUCCCGCCGCUCGACGUGCUCGCCGAGGCGUCCCUGGACACGGCGUUCUAG
RNAcentral lists this ribosomal RNA (837 nucleotides) under Triticum aestivum (bread wheat). Its description in RNAcentral is "partial small subunit ribosomal RNA". The record is from RNAcentral. Lineage: Eukaryota; Viridiplantae; Streptophyta; Magnoliopsida; Poales; Poaceae.